This 317-nucleotide long non-coding RNA is filed under the name Panax ginseng (ginseng). Its description in RNAcentral is "long non-coding RNA (PGIN_LNC012679)". The record is from RNAcentral. Lineage: Eukaryota; Viridiplantae; Streptophyta; Magnoliopsida; Apiales; Araliaceae.
UCUAUUGUGGAUACUAGCUUUGAUUGUAUCCAUGUUUUGAUCAUUCUUGAAUUUUACACCACUAUGAUUAUUUUUGAGGUAUUUUUGGACGUGGAUAAAACAAAGUACGAAUCUUUAAUCCUUAAUUCUUGUCAUUUUGUUUCACUGGAUUCGUUUAUUUAAAAAUAUUUUUCAUCAUCCUCAGUCUUAAAUAAUGAUAUUAUUGAAUAUCUUUGGCCUGUAGUGCAAAGAUGAAUGAUUUCUGAUGAAUAUCUUUGGCAAGUAGUGCAAAGAUGAACAUGUGUUUAGAUGAACAUGACCAACUGGUGAAUGUCCUU